Molecule: unclassified non-coding RNA, 4007 nt
Filed under: Centruroides sculpturatus (bark scorpion)
Lineage: Eukaryota; Metazoa; Arthropoda; Arachnida; Scorpiones; Buthidae
Description: apoptotic chromatin condensation inducer in the nucleus-like, transcript variant X6
Source: RNAcentral
UUUUUUCCUGUAGAUCCUAAGAAUGUUGCAAGAUGAUGAAAUAGCUGGACAGAAUGAAUUUAUUAAGCAAUAUCUUGCUGGACAACAAAAGAUAUAUGAAAAACAAAAAGAAGCAAGAAGACUUGUUGAAUUGGAAGAACAGAGAGCUAGUGAUACUGAUAUUUCAUCACAGGAUGAGGCUUCACCUUAUAAAGAACGAGUCCAAAAGCAGUACAAUACAAAUAUAACAAGUGAAAAUGAAAAUAUAAGUCAACCGAAACAAAAUUUUAGUUUUGAAGAUAAUGAAAUAGAAACAAGCAAAAUAGAAAAAUGCAAUUAUAGUAAUGAAGAAAAAGAAGUGGAUAUGCAUCACAAGAGUGAAGAUAAAAAAGGUAUUCAUUACCAAAGUGAUGAAGAAAGUUCAGAAGUAGAAAGUAAAAAUAAAGAAGAAAUAAACGAUCAUCAGAAAGAUGCAAAAUUGGAUUCAUUUGUAGAUGAAAUUCAGAUUAAAACAGAUGUAUGUGAGAAAAAAGAAAAUUUAGAAAUUCAACAUACAAUGGAAGUUAAUGCAGAAAUAAGGUCACCUGAAAACAAAACUUUAAGUAUCAGUAAAAAUUCAGAUGAUGAGCAAAUCAAUAUUCCUAGUAAAAUUCAAGAAAUGGAAAAGACAGAAGAUCCUAUUAAUGAUAUAUCUGAUAAAAAUGAUAAAAUAAUUUCUGAUGAAAAGAUUGUAGUUACACAAACUUUAGAUGAUGAUGAUAAAGUUACAUAUAAUAUAUUAUCUGAGAAUGCCACUGUAAAUAUUGUACAAAAACAAGAAGUUCUAAAUGAUGAAAAUAUUUCUCAAGAUAUAGAGAUGAAAGAAACAGAAGAAGAAUUGGAUAAAGAAAAUUGUGUUUCUGAAAAGGAAAAGAAUCAAAAUAAUUCUGCAUGUAUUCCUGAGGACACAAGCCAAAUAAAAGAUAUAUCUGUUGAAGAAACAAAACAAGAGGAAGAGAAACCUAAUACAUAUUCUGACGUUCCUGAUACAGAGAAAGAUCACAUAAAUAAUAAGAUACCAGAAGUUGAAAUGGCACAAGGUGAUGAUGUUACAGAAACCUUUCUUGAUAAAGAUAUUAAAAAAGUUAGUAUACCAGAGACUUCAGAAGAAAACCCUGAUACUAAUGAUAUAAAUUAUGACAAUGAAAAAACUAAUGUAAUUAAUGAAACAUUAGAUUAUGCCAAUAAACAAGUACCUUAUGGACAGCUUAAAGAAGCUUCUUCCAUUAGUGAUAAAGAGCAUACGAAAAGCAAACCAGUUAAAUUAAAAAGAAAAAAGCUGGAGGAAUUGCCCAAACCUGCAGAAUCUGUUGCUGAUAAUCAGACUUACAUGACUAAAGAUGAUCAGAAGAGAAAAUGGAAUGAACAUAAAACUAAUAAAAAUUCAGAAAAGGAUGAUGAUUAUAGUUCUGGAAGAAAAGAUAAUGAAGAUAAUCUUAAGUCAAAUCCAAAUUCAGAGUUUCAAGGAAAGAUGAAAGAUGAUGACAAUGAUGAUGAUAUGGAAAUAGAUUCCAAGGAAACCAAUAAAAAUAAAAAUAUUAAUAGCAAUUAUAAGAGAAAAACUCCAAAGAAAAGAAGUUCAUCUUCAGAUAGCAGUUCUGAAGAUGAUAAACGUAAAAGCAGAGAAAGAAAAGGGCACAAUAAAAGAAGUUCAAGCUCAAGUAGUGAUAGUAGUGAAAGUAACACAGAGAAAUCAAAAUCGAAAAGGAGGAGAAUUGAGAGUGAUAAAAGUAAAUCUCACAAUAUUGAAAGUAGUGAUGAAAAUAAUUAUAUUAGAAAAGAAAGGAGAAGAGAACAUUCAAAUAGUAGUGAAAGUUCUGAUAGUCAAGAAGCAAAUCGAAGAUGGGGAAGAAAAAGUAAAAAUAAAAAUGAAAACAGAGAAGAUAGAAGUGAUUCACAUUAUAGAAGUUAUGGAAAUAGGAAUUAUCAGAGUACUAGUCCAGGGUAUAGAAAGCUUGAGCAAAAAUAUGAUUCAUCAGUCAAUCAAAAUCGACAUGAAGAGCAUAAUAGGAAGUCAAGUCCAAAAGAGCAGAAAAAAGAACAUAAAUUUUCCAGUCAAGAAGAAACUGAAGUGUCUGAUCACAGAGAAAAACAGUUAUCUGAUAAAGAAGUAAAAGAGCAGUCACGAAGAAUAACAACACGUAAAUUAUCUUUAUCAUCAUCCAGAAAAGAAAAUCAGACUCUUGGUAAUUCUGAAAGACCACAAAGGAAAAGAAGAUGGGGGUCAAGUACAAAAGUGGCAACUAAGCCAUCUGUUAGUAUUUCGACUGAUUCCCUUAAGGAUCUAAUACCUGAUUACAAACCAGUAGUAAAAAAUGUUGUUUUAUCAUCAGAAGAAUUAACUCCUACUGCUAAUACACCUGAGGAAGAAGCUUUAUUUGGAAGUCAGGAAUUAAAUAAUCAACAGACUGAAAUUCCUGGAAUUCCAGAAAUAAGUGAAACUGAUCAGGUAAAAGAAGAUACAUCAAAAGAAGAAAGUCCUCAUCCUCCCACUCCACCACAGAAUCCACCAUCAUGCAUUAUUCAUAUUAAGAAUUUAGUUCGUCCAUUCACUCUUCAACAGCUAAAACAAGUACUACAGAAAACUGGAACAAUUGUAGAAGGAGGAUUUUGGAUUGACAAGAUUAAAUCAAAAUGCUAUGUAACUUAUGAGACAGAAGAUCAAGCUUCAGAAACUAGACAAGCACUUCAUGCAACAAGGUGGCCACCUUCAAAUCCUAAAACACUCAUAGUAGAUUUUGCAACAAAAGAAGAGUUAGAUUAUCAUAAAGAUUUACCAGAUAUUCCUAAAUUGCAAAAUAAGGAAAAAUCUGAAGAAAAGAAAAGUGGAACAUUAUCUAAUAAUUCCAAAAAAAGGGAUGAUGAUUAUGAUAAAAGAAGAGAAAAACAAAAAGAUGAGAGAAUGAUACAACAUCCAAUUAGAGAAUGGGAUAGAGAUAAAUUAACUCAAGAUUCUCCAGAACAUGAUAGGAGGACAAAAGAUAGAAGUAGAGAAAGAGGUAGAAGUCCAGAUAGGAGAGAGAAAAAGGAGAAAAAAGAUUCAAAGAGAAAACAAGAAGAAGAAACACCUGCCAAAUUAUUGGAUGAUUUGUUUCGUAAAACCAAAUCUACUCCUUGUAUUUAUUGGCUACCAUUAACUGAAGAACAGAUACAUCAGCGAGAGCAAGAAAGAAAGCAGAGACAGAUUGAAAGAGAGAAGAGAAGACAGCAAAGAGAUCAGGAGGAUAGAGAAAGAGAAGAAGCUGAACGAUUACAAAGGCAAAAGGCUAGAGAAAAUCGUUCAGGGAAAGAUAAAGAGAAUGCUCAGCAGAGCAGAAGUCCACUUGGAAGGAAACGUUGAAGAUAACCUUUCAGGAAAGUUCAAACCAUCGUCCGGCCUCCUGGCAUUAAGUUCAUCAUGGAUAGCUGGAAGAAGAUGUCCUUUUGCAGAUGAGCAGUUUCACUGUUAAUGGCCAUGCGAUUCAAUCCCGAAGAUGUUUGCCCACGCAGUCCCAUCUGUUACCCAGUUCGUUGUCAUAUUUGGUGGCAGGAACUGCACCCGAAUAUUAGUGAAUAAUACCCCCACAAAUGUGGGAAGAGAUGGCUUACCCAGAUGUAUGAAGUCGGUCAGCAAUGAACACUUUGCAAAACAUAACAAGUGUUUCUUCAUGGUGUUGGUAGUAGCAUUUCAAAAUCACAUACGACAAGCAGUCGAUCAGCUUUUACAAAGUUUUGCAUAAAAACUUAUUAAAAAAGAAAAAAGAAAGAAACAUUCUUCGUUUUUGUAAAUAAUCAACACCUGGGUUUCACAGUAAGAAUAUAGGUUAUAAAUCUGCAUCAAAUGUUCAAUUGCAUCAGUAUCAUGGACACUUCACUCUCUAGUUGAAAGCAUCAUUUGAGUGUUUGAUGAACAACAAUGUAUAAUUUUUAUCUAUUUCAAAAUAAAACUUUUAGAUGUUCUGUUAAUAACUGACGUUUGUUGUAUAUUUUUAUCAAAAAUUUUAAAAAAA